RNAcentral lists this ribosomal RNA (213 nucleotides) under uncultured bacterium. RNAcentral's name for it is "partial 16S ribosomal RNA". It matches the Rfam family "Bacterial small subunit ribosomal RNA", at positions 524 to 734 of the family's 1533-position model. The record is from RNAcentral.
UACGGAGGGUGCGAGCGUUGUCCGGAAUCACUGGGCGUAAAGGGCGCGUAGGCGGCGCGGAAAGUCGUCGGUGAAGCUCGGGGCUCAACCCUGAGUCUGCCGGUGAUACUCCCGCGCUCGAGCUCACUAGAGGCAGAUGGAAUUCCGGGUGUAGCGGUGGAAUGCGUAGGAGGAUCCGGAAGAACACCGGUGGCGAAGGCGGUCUGACUGGGG